Molecule: transfer RNA, 76 nt
Filed under: Pararhodospirillum photometricum DSM 122
Lineage: Bacteria; Pseudomonadati; Pseudomonadota; Alphaproteobacteria; Rhodospirillales; Rhodospirillaceae
Description: tRNA-Lys
Source: RNAcentral
ACUUCUAACCCGGCCCCAACAAGCCGAGGGGUUUGGGGAGGCCGCGCCUCCCCAGCCUUCCCUUUUUUGCUGGCCG